UAUGUAUAUAUAUAUAUAUAUAUAAUGUGUGUAUAUGUAAUAUAUAUAUAUAAUAUGUAUAUAUAUAUAUAUAACGUGUAUAUGUAUAAGAUUGGUUCAAAGGAAAGCAGCGAUUGUGUCUUAGAUCUGGCUGCCUUCAAACACUCCUUUGGAGAUUCGUUGAAAUACUUCAGAAUAAUAAUAGUAGGAAAGAAUAAUAGUAGGUGUAAUAGUAGAAGCGAAAAGAAAAAGUAAUAUAUCACGAGAUCAUCGGUAACUAAAAAAUCCCACAGCCUUUGGGAGGGAAGCUAUUGUUACAAUCUCUUAAAAAGAUCCGGACGAUCGGAUAGGUAAAUGACAGGCAGACCGAGAUAUAGUGUCCGCUUGAACCCACGAUCGUUAUUUACAGGACGGCUCUGAGUGAUUUUCGUUCCGACCAGAAUCGGGGAUGAGAACGAAUGGGAACGUAGAAUCCUUUGAAAACGGAAAGAUUGAUUGAUACACUUCAAAAAGUUUCCUACAGUCGAUCACUUCACCAUAAAAUAUCACAUAAUAACAAUUCUUGUUUGUGUUGUUGGUCCGCCUGUCAUCGAAGAAAAUUAUUUUGUAUAGGUUGUGUACUGUUGCUCCUCUAAGUAUCGCUCGAUCGCGUCCUCCGGAUUUUGUGAUGUAACAAAGCACUCUUGCUACGGCUCGACGAUCUCUUUAAACACAGUUUACGAGGCAGUCACUGUACAAUAAUUUUGUGUACGCAAACGAAUAUCGAACACGAGUAAAAUCGUUGGAAUAGAAUCACCGUUGCAGCGAUGGAGGACUGGUCGACGCGAUAAACGAGUAGUCCCGGAUCAGCUGCUCGUCAAAACAAAGCACUCGCGCGUACACGAAAGGCUAACAAUCUUUUCUCUGAAUCUCUGUUACGUUGUCUAGACUCGGACGGAGAUCGACACGAACGACAGUAUUCUAUGCUUGUUCAUAGAUGAAAAAACCCGACGCGAUAUCACACAGGACGCCAGGAUCUUGUUUUAUAUCGUGACGAACCGUGUAUACGCUGAGAAUGACGUACCGACCACACAAACAAUGCUGCGCCACUCGCACGGGAACGUAUGCGCAGAGAUCGAAGCACGAAACAAAGAAACUCCACUUUCGCUACGGAUUUUCUCGUUUAUGCCUUUAUUUGUUGUAUCUUCCGUUCAGAUAUUGUUACUGACACUUGUGUGCUUCACGUUGCUGCCGAAUUUUCACCGCGAAUGCGCCGAACGCUUGCCCGAGAAUGUCCACUUUUAUAAAGCUCUUGCACCGUGCCAAAGAGAGAAGGUAGGGGGGCAACUAGCUUGGCGCAGUCCCGUUCGACAUUUUGCUCUGACGCAUCGCGUCGCCAGCUGUUUACUGCCGAGUCCAGGCCUGGUCGAGCACGGAGGACAGAACGUCUGCUCUCUGUGUGCUUAGCUUACGCAGAUAUUCCACUCGCCUCUCAGCUGUUCGUUCGCGAUCGACGCGCCAUCUCAACAGUACAAAGAUGGCGUGUGCGAUGCGUGCAAUAGUUUGAACAUGUGCGUAGUUAUAUUGUAAAAAUUUUAAGUUGAACGUUUUAUUUUCAUCCUUUUUCCAUUCCCUUUUACAUUUUUAUAGAGUGUGUGAGUACUUUGUGAUGAAAUUCGAUAACAGAUUUAGUGUAUUGUGUGUAUCAUGAAUGAAUGUUGAAACUUCCUAUUCCUUGGGUAUCCAUGUCGUUUGAACCGUGUCAUGCGCAGCAAUUGGUCGUUGAUGAAAUGGAAACCACUGUUAUUCCUCCUCAAUUGAAAUAUACUGCAUUUUAAGAAAUAUAAUCCCUGGUGGGGUGGCUCGAUAGCCGCGGCUAAUAUCGAUCGAUCACGAAACCAUCGGGCGAGCAACAAUGUGAUGGCGAUGAAAACACUAUAGAAAUAUGGGAGAGGGGGAAAACUUUCCUUGGACGAAAUCCAAUUCCGAUUAAAAGGCGCAAUCGGAGGGGGGAGAUUCAGGAGGAAAAUUCGAUCGAGGAAAGAGGAUUAUUAUUACCCCCGCCGAGAAUUGGAGGGAAUCGUCGAAAAUCCUGGGAAAUUCGGUAGGAAUUUCGGUAGGACUCCGCCGCGUCCGUGAACUAGGUCCUAAACGGCUCGGUUCCCAGUGACCCGGACUCGUUGUCCUUGCACUCGGUGGCCCACUUUCAGGAUUCCCGCCCUUCCCCAGAUCGAUUAGACGUGUAAGAGAGUAAAAAUUUAACGAAUCGAGAUCGAGGGGAUCGCGGUGGCAACGUUUUCUUUAAUCAUCCGUGACCCGAAAUCCAAGGUAUUUGAGAAGUAUCGUUGAAAUUCCACGGAUGGAAAGGAGCGGUCAAGCCACGGAUGGAAUCGGGCCGUGGAAAAUGGAAAACGGGCACAACAACUCGCGACCCAAAAAUACUUGAUAAAAAUCACCACGGUCGUUACGAAGAGCGCAGCUGCAAGCAUCACCAAAGAAAACACACGGAAAUAGAGCGGACACGAAGCUAGAGCGCGUACACUUUGAGCGCGCGCGAGUGAGCCGAGCCGCUUGUGUCACCGAUUGCGAGAUCGAGAAGGAGGAAGCGAGAGAUCGAGCGAAAUUUCCGAGAAAUUCGAGAAAUCCGCCAUUCGAUAAAAGUCCUGCAUUAGGAAGUAUACACAAACAGGAAUAUGGAAUAAGGAGGGAUGAUGGAACACAUUUACAUGCAUGUCGGACGAUCCAUGUAGUACAUAUUUUGAAUGUAGGGUGGAAUAUGUGCGCACUGGAUGGAAAAUCGAGGUGUGGCAGCAUUUACCGGAAAAUCGAAGGCAACUACUUCUCUAAUACGCUUCGCAAAAUUCAAUAGAUUCUACUUUCGACAACAGAAACGGGUCACCCGUGAGUUUAUGCAACUAUACGUUCAAAUAAAAGAUGGAAUUACAUUUCUUCUCUUAUAUCUUUCUAUUGAGAUAAUCGUUGUUAUCGACUUUGCCCAUCGAGCUAUGGUUACCGGAUGAGGAAAGAUCAGAUCAGUUCCGGUUUGACGCUAUUCUUCAGAAAGGAUAUUCAAUUUUCUGUUCUAAUUUAAAAUUGCGCAUGAAUUUCAUGUUUAAGAUGUAUUUUUAUGCGCGAAUACAACAAUUUUAUGUACUUUACGAAA
This is a long non-coding RNA of Apis laboriosa (Himalayan honeybee), 3121 nucleotides long. RefSeq lists it as uncharacterized. The transcript is spliced from 7 exons. NCBI's taxonomy places the organism in Eukaryota, Metazoa, Arthropoda, Insecta, Hymenoptera, Apidae. The record is from RefSeq and is a predicted model, not a curated record.